This 241-nucleotide ribosomal RNA is filed under the name uncultured Rozellomycota. RNAcentral describes it as "uncultured Cryptomycota partial 18S ribosomal RNA". It matches the Rfam family "Eukaryotic small subunit ribosomal RNA", at positions 550 to 785 of the family's 1831-position model. The record is from RNAcentral. Lineage: Eukaryota; Fungi; Rozellomycota.
GGAGGGCAAGUCUGGUGCCAGCAGCCGCGGUAAUUCCAGCUCCAAUAGCGUAUAUUAAAGUUGCUGCAGUUAAAAAGCUCGUAGUUGGAUUUCUGGCCUGAUAUAUUUUGCCGGCCACGGUUUCGCGUGUUAGUGCUUGAUAUUCUGGCCAUCCUUCCAAUGGCUAUUCAUCCUUCUUCAUUGAGGUGGUGAGUGGUAUUGGAUCUUUUACUUUGAAAAAAUUAGAGUGUUUAAAGCAGGC